RNAcentral lists this ribosomal RNA (253 nucleotides) under uncultured bacterium. RNAcentral describes it as "partial 16S ribosomal RNA". It matches the Rfam family "Bacterial small subunit ribosomal RNA", at positions 524 to 776 of the family's 1533-position model. The record is from RNAcentral.
GACGUAGGGGGCGAGCGUUGCCCGGAUUCACUGGGCGUAAAGCGCGUGUAGGCGGUCUGUUAAGUCGGAUGUGAAAGCCCCGGGCUCAACCUGGGAACUGCAGUUGAUACUGGCCGACUGGAGUGCGAGAGAGGGAGGUAGAAUUCCAUGUGUAGCGGUGAAAUGCGUAGAUAUAUGGAGGAAUACCGGUGGCGAAGGCGGCCUCCUGGCUCGACACUGACGCUGAGGUGCGAAAGCGUGGGGAUCAAACAGG